CAGAGCUGGCAUCAGAUGCCUGCGGGCGCGGGGCGAAGCGGAGCCGCCGGCCCCGGACUCAUGGCGGUGCGGGAGGGGCGCGCGUGUGCGCCGGGCAACUCCGAUCCAGAGCGGCUCUCCGAGUCCCGCGCCGAAACCGCAACUAAUCCUUCAGGGCCGGCGGGCAGCGCCGGGCCGCCCGGCGGGCAUCCUCGGGGCGGCGGAGCCCCGCUGAGCCGAUCCCGGAGCCGAGCGGCAGCGCGCGGGCAGCGCUAGCGGGGCGCCAGGACAAAGGAACGCAUGUGCGGCUCCGGCGGUCCCGCAGCUCCGGCUCCGGGCGCAGCUCCGUCCCGCAGGGCCCAACUCCGGGCUGGCGCGGCCCCUCCCGCGGCCGGAUGGGAUUUUGUUUGGUUUUUUUUUUUUUUUUUUCUUCUGCUUGGUCUUUUUUUGUUUGCUUUUUUG
RNAcentral lists this long non-coding RNA (441 nucleotides) under Gallus gallus (chicken). Lineage: Eukaryota; Metazoa; Chordata; Aves; Galliformes; Phasianidae. The record is from RNAcentral.